AAAUGACGGUACCUGACUAAGAAGCACCGGCUAAAUACGUGCCAGCAGCCGCGGUAAUACGUAUGGUGCAAGCGUUAUCCGGAUUUACUGGGUGUAAAGGGAGCGUAGACGGCUGUGUAAGUCUGAAGUGAAAGCCCGGGGCUCAACCCCGGGACUGCUUUGGAAACUAUGCAGCUAGAGUGUCGGAGAGGUAAGUGGAAUUCCCAGUGUAGCGGUGAAAUGCGUAGAUAUUGGGAGGAACACCAGUGGCGAAGGCGGCUUACUGGACGAUGACUGACGUUGAGGCUCGAAAGCGUGGGGAGCAAACAGGAUUAGAUACCCUGGUAGUCCACGCCGUAAACGAUGACUACUAGGUGUCGGGGAGCAAAGCUCUUCGGUGCCGCAGCAAACGCAAUAAGUAGUCCACCUGGGGAGUACGUUCGCAAGAAUGAAACUCAAAG
Molecule: ribosomal RNA, 440 nt
Filed under: uncultured bacterium
Lineage: Bacteria
Description: bacterial SSU rRNA
Rfam family: Bacterial small subunit ribosomal RNA
Source: RNAcentral